GCGGAUUCAAAUAAGGAAUUAGAUGAUUCCUCAGACUUGGAAACAGAAGAAGAGGAACCUACUGAAGGUGAUUCUGAAGAGGAAUCCGAAGAUCUUCCGAGCUCAGAUGAAGAAGAAGAAGACGAACCUAUUGAACAAGAUGAUUCGGACUCGGACGGAGAAGAAGAACCUUCUG
This is a long non-coding RNA of Dendronephthya gigantea, 175 nucleotides long. RefSeq lists it as uncharacterized. Lineage: Eukaryota; Metazoa; Cnidaria; Anthozoa; Malacalcyonacea; Nephtheidae. The transcript has 3 exons. The record is from RefSeq and is a predicted model, not a curated record.